This 242-nucleotide ribosomal RNA is filed under the name uncultured bacterium. RNAcentral's name for it is "partial 16S ribosomal RNA". It matches the Rfam family "Bacterial small subunit ribosomal RNA", at positions 113 to 354 of the family's 1533-position model. The record is from RNAcentral.
ACGCGGUACGGUACNCGUACCUACACGGAGGGUAACACCUGGAAACAGGUGCUAAUACCGCAUAAGCGCACAGGGCCGCAUGGCCCGGUGUGAAAAACUCCGGUGGUGUAAGAUGGACCCGCGUCUGAUUAGCUUGUUGGCGGGGUAGGGGCCCACCAAGGCGACGAUCAGUAGCCGGCCUGAGAGGGUGGACGGCCACAUUGGGACUGAGACACGGCCCAAACUCCUACGGAAGGCAGCAG